UCAGCUCAUUCUUCUCAAUUGUUACAUAGCGAGAUUCAGAUAAUAGAGAUUCAUUCUCCUUGUUGAGGCCGUCAAUCUGUCCAAUCAAGUCCUUCAACAAUCUAGCAGCUUCAGACAAUAUGGAGGCCUUCCCAUUAUUUGGCUGAGUCAGUUCAAGAGCACUGGCUAGCUCAAGGAAGAGCUCAUUCAAUUGCUCACGCUUCAGUUUUUCCCUCUCAGCCUUGUGAAUUCUUUUGGGAACUUUCCCUUUAUUCUUACCAUGGCAACACCUUUUCUCAGUAGUCUCUGCUGCUACAUUCACCUCAUCAGCCGCGGAAGGAGGACACUCAGAACCCAUGCUUAUCCCAAUGAAUUGAAUCUAUCAAAUUAGACACCUUGAAAGGCAAAGUAGGCCAAAGAACUUAAAAGAGAGAAUAAUUAGAUUUAAAGAAGGAGAAAUCUGGGAGAUUUAUGAGGCAAAAUCUAAAGGAUUUUG
This 475-nucleotide unclassified non-coding RNA is filed under the name Hevea brasiliensis (rubber tree). Lineage: Eukaryota; Viridiplantae; Streptophyta; Magnoliopsida; Malpighiales; Euphorbiaceae. The record is from RNAcentral.